Molecule: ribosomal RNA, 35 nt
Filed under: Cuscuta monogyna
Lineage: Eukaryota; Viridiplantae; Streptophyta; Magnoliopsida; Solanales; Convolvulaceae
Description: partial 26S ribosomal RNA
Source: RNAcentral
GGGACCCCAGGUCAGACGGACUACUCGCUGAGUUU